UACGAAGGGGGCUAGCGUUGCUCGGAAUUAUUGGGCGUAAAGCGCGCGUAGGCGGUUACUUAAGUCGGAUGUGAAAGCCCUCGGCUUAACUGAGGAAGUGCACCCGAAACUGAGUAGCUAGAGUACGAAAGAGGGUCGCGGAAUUCCCGGUGUAGAGGUGAAAUUCGUAGAUAUCGGGAGGAACACCGGUGGCGAAGGCGGCGACCUGGGUCGAGACUGACGCUGAGGCGCGAAAGCGUGGGGAGCAAACAGG
RNAcentral lists this ribosomal RNA (253 nucleotides) under uncultured bacterium. RNAcentral describes it as "partial 16S ribosomal RNA". It matches the Rfam family "Bacterial small subunit ribosomal RNA", at positions 524 to 776 of the family's 1533-position model. The record is from RNAcentral.